Molecule: long non-coding RNA, 373 nt
Organism: Pan paniscus (pygmy chimpanzee)
Lineage: Eukaryota; Metazoa; Chordata; Mammalia; Primates; Hominidae
Source: Ensembl
CAAAAUUUUAUAUGUAGAAAGAGUAUACUAUUUGUUACUUCUCUUACAGUAUAGCAAAAGGGGCAUUACAAAAUAUUGGCUAGAAGACAGCAUUGAGUCUUAUAGAGUUAAAACCCACUGAUUUACUUAACAACUUAUUAAUUGCUUUCCAUGUCCAAAGCAUUGUCCUAUUGGAAAUAUAGAAGCAAAAUGGAUGUUGUCUAUGGCCCUGACGAGUUCACAAUUUAAUAGGAGAGAUAUCCUGGAGCUUCGCCUUACAGAGCUAGGUUUUCUCCUGGGAAGCACUGUUAAUAUUUCAACCUCUGUAUAUGCCAAAUGGAAACAAAGAUUAUUUGAAAAGAAGCUGAGAUUCACUUGUCCCCAAGUAGCUUGA